GCCUACGGGGCGCAGCAGUGAGGAAUAUUGGUCAAUGGGCGGAAGCCUGAACCAGCCAAGUCGCGUGAGGGACUAAGGCCCUGCGGGUCGUAAACCUCUUUUGCCGGGGAGCAGUGGUCCGGACGCGUCCGGACCGGGAGAGUACCCGGAGAAAAAGCAUCGGCUAACUCCGUGCCAGCAGCCGCGGUAAUACGUAGGGGGCAAGCGUUAUCCGGAUUUACUGGGGGUAAAGGGAGCGUAGACGGCAGCACAAGUCUGGAGUGAAAUGCCGGGGCUUAACCCCGGAACU
Molecule: ribosomal RNA, 289 nt
Filed under: uncultured bacterium
Lineage: Bacteria
Description: partial 16S ribosomal RNA
Rfam family: Bacterial small subunit ribosomal RNA
Source: RNAcentral